UUCUCUCAGACUGGCUCUUGAAGCCUGAGUACUAAUAGAAGUCUGGGCUCUUUUUAGUACUCGGACUUCAAGAGCUAAUUUGGGACUA
This is a microRNA precursor of Anolis carolinensis (green anole), 88 nucleotides long. The record is from Ensembl. Lineage: Eukaryota; Metazoa; Chordata; Lepidosauria; Squamata; Anolidae.